This 468-nucleotide ribosomal RNA is filed under the name uncultured bacterium. RNAcentral's name for it is "partial 16S ribosomal RNA". It matches the Rfam family "Bacterial small subunit ribosomal RNA", at positions 28 to 507 of the family's 1533-position model. The record is from RNAcentral.
GACGAACGCUGGCGGCGUGCUUAACACAUGCAAGUCAAACGGAAAGGCCCUGCUUUUGUGGGGUGCUCGAGUGGCGAACGGGUGAGUAACACGUGAGUAACCUGCCCUUGACUUUGGGAUAACUUCAGGAAACUGGGGCUAAUACCGGAUAGGAGCUCCUGCUGCAUGGUGGGGGUUGGAAAGUUUCGGCGGUUGGGGAUGGACUCGCGGCUUAUCAGCUUGUUGGUGGGGUAGUGGCUUACCAAGGCUUUGACGGGUAGCCGGCCUGGGAGGGUGACCGGCCACAUUGGGACUGAGAUACGGCCCAGACUCCUACGGGAGGCAGCAGGGGGGAAUAUUGCACAAUGGGCGGAAGCCUGAUGCAGCAACGCCGCGUGCGGGAUGACGGCCUUCGGGUUGUAAACCGCUUUCGCCUGUGACGAAGCGUGAGUGACGGUAAUGGGUAAAGAAGCACCGGCUAACUACGUG